GCAAUGGGGAGCCACUGAAGUUUCCUUGGUAGAUGACUAACAGGCUCUGAGAGUAUCUCAAGGAAGAUUAAUCUGGCAGCAUUAAAUCAAUUUUGAAAAGUUUUUUGAGCAUGCAACUUUCAGGCUACAAAUAAUUACACCAAGGAACAAGGGAUGUAAAUCCAGAUGUACAGGUAAAUACAGGAUUCAAGUGUCAAAUCUUAUCCUGAAUUUUU
Non-coding RNA from Equus caballus (horse), 215 nucleotides. Lineage: Eukaryota; Metazoa; Chordata; Mammalia; Perissodactyla; Equidae. The record is from RefSeq and is a predicted model, not a curated record.